Molecule: ribosomal RNA, 255 nt
Filed under: uncultured bacterium
Lineage: Bacteria
Description: partial 16S ribosomal RNA
Rfam family: Bacterial small subunit ribosomal RNA
Source: RNAcentral
UACAGAGGGUGCGAGCGUUGUCCGGAAUCACUGGGCGUAAAGGGCGCGUAAGUGGCGAUCCAAGUCCAUGGUGAAAGCUCGAUGCUCAACAUCGAGUCGGCCACGGAUACUGGGGUUGCUUGAGCACUGUAGAGGCAGGCGGGAAUUCCGGGUGUAGCGGUGGAAUGCGUAGAGAUCCGGAAGAACACCGGUGGCGAAGGCGGCCUGCUGGGCAGUUGCUGACACUGAGGCGCGACAGCGUGGGGAGCAAACAGG